GACGAACGCUGGCGGCGUGCCUAAUACAUGCAAGUAGAACGCUGAAGAGAGGAGCUUGCUCUUCUUGGAUGAGUUGCGAACGGGUGAGUAACGCGUAGGUAACCUGCCUUGUAGCGGGGGAUAACUAUUGGAAACGAUAGCUAAUACCGCAUAACAAUGGAUGACACAUGUCAUUUAUUUGAAGGGGCAAUUGCUCCACUACAAGAUGGACCUGCGUUGUAUUAGCUAGUAGGUGAGGUAACGGCUCACCUAGGCGACGAUACAUAGCCGACCUGAGAGGGUGAUCGGCCACACUGGGACUGAGACACGGCCCAGACUCCUACGGGAGGCAGCAGUAGGGAAUCUUCGGCAAUGGGGGCAACCCUGACCGAGCAACGCCGCGUGAGUGAAGAAGGUUUUCGGAUCGUAAAGCUCUGUUGUAAGUCAAGAACGAGUGUGAGAGUGGAAAGUUCACACUGUGACGGUAGCUUACCAGAAGGGGACGGCUAACUACGUGCCAGCAGCCGCGGUAAUACGUAGGUCCCGAGCGUUGUCCGGAUUUAUUGGGCGUAAAGCGAGCGCAGGCGGUUUGAUAAGUCUGAAGUUAAAGGCUGUGGCUCAACCAUAGUUCGCUUUGGAAACUGUCAAACUUGAGUGCAGAAGGGGAGAGUGGAAUUCCAUGUGUAGCGGUGAAAUGCGUAGAUAUAUGGAGGAACACCGGUGGCGAAAGCGGCUCUCUGGUCUGUAACUGACGCUGAGGCUCGAAAGCGUGGGGAGCGAACAGGAUUAGAUACCCUGGUAGUCCACGCCGUAAACGAUGAGUGCUAGGUGUUGGAUCCUUUCCGGGAUUCAGUGCCGCAGCUAACGCAUUAAGCACUCCGCCUGGGGAGUACGACCGCAAGGUUGAAACUCAAAGGAAUUGACGGGGGCCCGCACAAGCGGUGGAGCAUGUGGUUUAAUUCGAAGCAACGCGAAGAACCUUACCAGGUCUUGACAUCCCGAUGCUAUUUCUAGAGAUAGAAAGUUACUUCGGUACAUCGGUGACAGGUGGUGCAUGGUUGUCGUCAGCUCGUGUCGUGAGAUGUUGGGUUAAGUCCCGCAACGAGCGCAACCCCUAUUGUUAGUUGCCAUCAUUCAGUUGGGCACCCUAGCGAGACUGCCGGUAAUAAACCGGAGGAAGGUGGGGAUGACGUCAAAUCAUCAUGCCCCUUAUGACCUGGGCUACACACGUGCUACAAUGGUUGGUACAACGAGUUGCGAGUCGGUGACGGCAAGCUAAUCUCUUAAAGCCAAUCUCAGUUCGGAUUGUAGGCUGCAACUCGCCUACAUGAAGUCGGAAUCGCUAGUAAUCGCGGAUCAGCACGCCGCGGUGAAUACGUUCCCGGGCCU
RNAcentral lists this ribosomal RNA (1368 nucleotides) under uncultured bacterium. RNAcentral's name for it is "bacterial SSU rRNA". It matches the Rfam family "Bacterial small subunit ribosomal RNA", at positions 28 to 1381 of the family's 1533-position model. The record is from RNAcentral.